This 291-nucleotide ribosomal RNA is filed under the name uncultured prokaryote. Its description in RNAcentral is "partial 16S ribosomal RNA". It matches the Rfam family "Bacterial small subunit ribosomal RNA", at positions 505 to 796 of the family's 1533-position model. The record is from RNAcentral.
GUGUCAGCCGCCGCGGUAAUACGGAGGGUGCGAGCGUUAAUCGGAAUUACUGGGCGUAAAGCGCAUGCAGGUGGUUCAUUAAGUCAGAUGUGAAAGCCCGGGGCUCAACCUCGGAACUGCAUUUGAAACUGGUGAACUAGAGUACUGUAGAGGGGGGUAGAAUUUCAGGUGUAGCGGUGAAAUGCGUAGAGAUCUGAAGGAAUACCAGUGGCGAAGGCGGCCCCUGGACAGAUACUGACACUCAGAUGCGAAAGCGUGGGGAGCAAACAGGAUUAGAAACCCCCGUAGUCC